This 253-nucleotide ribosomal RNA is filed under the name uncultured bacterium. RNAcentral's name for it is "partial 16S ribosomal RNA". It matches the Rfam family "Bacterial small subunit ribosomal RNA", at positions 524 to 776 of the family's 1533-position model. The record is from RNAcentral.
UACAGAGGUCUCAAGCGUUGUUCGGAUUCAUUGGGCGUAAAGCGCGCGUAGGCGGCCAACUAAGUCAGACGUGAAAUCCCCAGGCUCAACCUGGGAACUGCGUCUGAUACUGGAUGGCUUGAAUUCGGGAGAGGGAUGCAGAAUUCCAGGUGUAGCGGUGAAAUGCGUAGAUAUCUGGAGGAAUACCGGUGGCGAAGGCGGCAUCCUGGACCGACAUUGACGCUGAUGAGCGAAAGCUAGGGGAGCAAACGGG